This 505-nucleotide ribosomal RNA is filed under the name uncultured bacterium. Its description in RNAcentral is "partial 16S ribosomal RNA". It matches the Rfam family "Bacterial small subunit ribosomal RNA", at positions 28 to 507 of the family's 1533-position model. The record is from RNAcentral.
GACGAACGCUGGCGGCGUGCCUAAUACAUGCAAGUCGGACGCAAGGAAACACACUGUUCUUGCACACCGUGUUUUCUUGUGUCGCGAACGCGUGAGUAACGCGUAAGUUACCUGCCUAUUAGCCUGGGACAACUAUUUGAAACGAUAGCUAAUACCUCAUAAUAUUAAUUAUUGCCUGAUAAUUGAUUGUAAGUUGCAAGCUAAUCGCUAGUCGAUGGACCUACGUUGUAUUAGCUAGUUGGUAAGGUAAGAGCUUACCAAGGCGACGAUACAUAGCCGAACUGGGAGGGUGAGCUGCCACACUGGGACGGAGAGACGGACCAGACGACUACGGGAGGCAGCAGGAGGGAAUCUUCGGAAAAGGCCGAAAGUCUGACCGAGGAACGACGCGUGAGUGAAGAAGGUUGUCGGAUCGUAAGGAUCUGUUGUAAGUCAAGAACGUGUGUGAGAGUGAAAAGUGCACACAGUGACGGUAGCUUACGAGAAAGGGACGGCUAACUACGUG